RNAcentral lists this small nuclear RNA (171 nucleotides) under Fukomys damarensis (Damara mole-rat). RNAcentral's name for it is "U2 spliceosomal RNA". It matches the Rfam family "U2 spliceosomal RNA". From Rfam's summary of the family: U2 is a small nuclear RNA (snRNA) component of the spliceosome (involved in pre-mRNA splicing). Complementary binding between U2 snRNA (in an area lying towards the 5' end but 3' to hairpin I) and the branchpoint sequence (BPS) of the intron results the bulging out of an unpaired adenosine, on the BPS, which initiates a nucleophilic attack at the intronic 5' splice site, thus starting the first of two transesterification reactions that mediate splicing. The record is from Rfam by way of RNAcentral. Lineage: Eukaryota; Metazoa; Chordata; Mammalia; Rodentia; Bathyergidae.
AUCGCUUCUCGGCCUUUUGGCUAAGAUCAAGUGUAAAACCCCGUCUGUUAGGCACUUCUUACUCAACUUGACAUUAUAGUUAACUAUUACACAUAAUUUCUGUAUCUAUACAUAAGAUUUCAAUUAUUCUUAUACAGUACUAGCAUUAAAUACUCUCUGAAGUGACAGUAU